RNAcentral lists this transfer RNA (77 nucleotides) under Candidatus Marinamargulisbacteria bacterium SCGC AG-343-D04. Its description in RNAcentral is "tRNA-Trp". It matches the Rfam family "tRNA". Rfam says of the family: Transfer RNA (tRNA) molecules are approximately 80 nucleotides in length. Lineage: Bacteria; Bacillati; Candidatus Margulisiibacteriota; Candidatus Marinamargulisbacteria. The record is from RNAcentral.
AGGCUUGUAGCUCUAAUUGGUAGAGCAUCGGUUUCCAAAACCGAGGGUUGUCGGUUCGAAUCCGACCGAGCCUGCCA